CCAUCAAAGUGACUGUGAAAUG
This 22-nucleotide microRNA is filed under the name Magallana gigas (Pacific oyster). RNAcentral's name for it is "Mgi-Mir-2-o57_5p* (star (passenger))". Lineage: Eukaryota; Metazoa; Mollusca; Bivalvia; Ostreida; Ostreidae. The record is from RNAcentral.